This is a non-coding RNA of Peziza echinospora, 100 nucleotides long. NCBI's taxonomy places the organism in Eukaryota, Fungi, Ascomycota, Pezizomycetes, Pezizales, Pezizaceae. The record is from the annotation of a GenBank genome assembly.
UCCGUCAUGGUGUAGUGGCUAGCAUUUCAGACUCUCAUUGGUCGACCUUUCGGUUGCCAUGUGAUCUCUGAGAACCCGGGUUCAAUUCCCGGUGACGGAA